AGUCGAGCGAGGGCUCAUUUCCCGCAAGGGAGAUGGGUUCCUAGCGGCGAACGGGUGAGUAACACGUGGGCAACCUUUCCUAUCGCGGGGGAUAACAGCGGGAAACCGCUGCUAAUACCGCAUGUANUCACCGGUCGCAUGGCCGGUGAAAAAAGCAGCAAUGCACGAUGGGGUGGGCCCGCGGCCUAUCAGCUAGUCGGUGGGGUCACGGCCUACCGAGGCGAUGACGGGUAGCUGGUCUGAGAGGACGACCAGCCACACGGGGACUGAGACACGGCCCCGACUCCUACGGGAGGCAGCAGUGAGGAAUCUUCCGCAAUGGGCGAAAGCCUGACGGAGCGACACCGCGUGUGGGAUGAAGUCCUUCGGGAUGUAAACCACUGUUGGAGGGGAAGACAACUGACGGUACCCUCCGAGAAAGCCCCGGCUAACUACGUGCCAGCAGCCGCGGUAAUACGUAGGGGGCUACCGUUAUCCAGAAUUACUGGGCGUAAAGCGCGUGUACGCGGCUGGUUAAGUGUGAUGUGAAAUCUUCGGGCUCA
RNAcentral lists this ribosomal RNA (542 nucleotides) under uncultured bacterium. Its description in RNAcentral is "bacterial SSU rRNA". It matches the Rfam family "Bacterial small subunit ribosomal RNA", at positions 60 to 611 of the family's 1533-position model. The record is from RNAcentral.